UGGAAUUUCACCCCGAAAUUUCUAGCUAGUCAAAACAUUUAAGUGACUCUGCAGUGAAACCUUAAUAUUUUGCACUUGGCCAUGAGAUGGAGCCCUCUGGGGUUGUUAAAAAAAAGGAUGGAUAUUACUUACUGGUCCACUAAAACCCGCGAGCUGCGUGAUCAUCAGACACACUAUGGAAAUGAUGAGUCUGGUGCGGCAGAAAAUCCACACAACCCUCCGGAGAGAAGCAUCGUCGGGCCCGCUUUCUUUCAGUUCUUCCUGCCACAGUCUCUCCAGCCUUCUACAGUUGACGUCUGAAGACUCAUGCCUUGACAAAGACCAUACAUCAUCC
This 334-nucleotide long non-coding RNA is filed under the name Gallus gallus (chicken). The record is from RNAcentral. Lineage: Eukaryota; Metazoa; Chordata; Aves; Galliformes; Phasianidae.